AUUGAACGCUGGCGGCAGGCUUAACACAUGCAAGUCGAACGAGUGGCGGACGGGUGAGUAAUGCUUGGGCUUCUAGCUUAUGGAGGGGGAUCACUACGGGAAACUGUAGCUAAUACCGCGUACCAUAGGCUGAGCCCAAGUGGGAUUAGGUAGUUGGUGAGGUAAAGGCUCACCAGGCCGGCGAUCUCUAGCUGGUCUGGGAGGAUGACCGGCCGCCCGGGGGCGUGGACGGGGCCCAGGCUCCGACGGGAGGCAGCAGUGGGGAAUAUGGCGCAAUGGGGGCAACCUGACGCAGCCAGGCCGCGUGAAUGAAGAAGGCCUUGGGGUUGUAAAGUUCUUUCGGUAGCGAGGCGUUAGCUACAGAAGAAGCACCGGCUAACUCCGUGCCAGCCGCCGCGGUAAUAC
RNAcentral lists this ribosomal RNA (405 nucleotides) under uncultured bacterium. RNAcentral describes it as "partial 16S ribosomal RNA". It matches the Rfam family "Bacterial small subunit ribosomal RNA", at positions 28 to 526 of the family's 1533-position model. The record is from RNAcentral.